AUUUUGAUUAUUACAUUCAUUUGAUAAGAGAUAGUGAUAAUAAUACUUUUUUCUUACUUAAGGACCAUCCUCCCAUUUGAAACAGUAUGGAUUGCUUUUCUUAUCACGAGGAAUACGACAAAUAGGAUUUCCAUCAUCUGUUCCUACUUCCCAUAUACAUUCUUUACAAACGGGAAAACGUCCAUCUGGAUUAUCAUCUCUGUAUACUUUAAAAUAUAAAAGUAAUGAGAUCCGCCAUUAUGCCAAGUAAAGUGACAACGAAAUUUCGUAGUUUUCCAAAAGUUGACAUGAAAGCUGAAAUCCCAUGUGCUAUUCCAAGGAAUAUGGACCAUUCCAAAAUCAUCUUCACUGGAUCUGCAAUGUACAUUCAAAAUUUCUUUAUUUU
Molecule: small RNA, 385 nt
Filed under: Arabidopsis thaliana (thale cress)
Lineage: Eukaryota; Viridiplantae; Streptophyta; Magnoliopsida; Brassicales; Brassicaceae
Description: ATSL182750
Source: RNAcentral